Molecule: long non-coding RNA, 1642 nt
Filed under: Homo sapiens (human)
Lineage: Eukaryota; Metazoa; Chordata; Mammalia; Primates; Hominidae
Description: EFHD2 antisense RNA 1, transcript variant 4 (EFHD2-AS1)
Source: RNAcentral
CCCGGGCCCGCGCGGCGUGCGCGUGAUCGCUCCCGGCCGCCGGGGGUCGAGUGUACUCUGCGCGCCCCGCCCGCCGUCGUCUGCCCCCCGCGAGGCUGGGGAGCGCGGCCGAAAGCCAUGCCCCUCUUCGUGCCCACUGUAGCAGCUGAGCGGGAGGGGUCCUGCUGGGGGCCGGGGCCGGGCGGGAAAGAAGAGGGCUCCUCCCCCGCGGCUUGGGAGGGCUGCUGAACGCCGGAGCCUUACAACUGUUAAACUCAGGCAGAGCUCGGGAAAUGCUGCCCGGAUGGGUGACUGAUGGAGAGGGGCUACCACUCUUCCAGCUAAACUCCGCUCUGGUUGGGACCCAGCAAUUAUUUUCCAUAGCGAAGUGUUAAUAAAAUAUCUGUUACUCCCAACACAACCUCCUGGGGGAAGGGACCUGUCUGUCUGCUUCAACUUUGGAUCCUCAGUGCCCACAUCAGGAUACCUGGCCUGAGAGAGGGUCCUGCCGGUAUUACCCUGGAGGAAGGAAUGCUGCACAGAGGCCGAGAGGAAUUUGAACAGACUGGCCUUGCUGGGUUUUUAUCUCUUUUUGUCCAAUCCCAUUUUGACACAGUUGUCCAUGCUCCAAUCAUGCUUAUCCAAUGAAGUUUCCAUAACAGGCCUGAGAGGACAGGGUUCAGGAGCUUCCGGACAGCUGAGCAGGUGGAGGUUCCUGGAGGGUGGUGUGCCAGGGAGGGUGUGGAAGCUCUGCCCCUUCCCCCAUACCUUGUCCUAUGCAUUCCUUUAUCUGCAUCCUUCAUUUUAUUUUAUUUUUUUUUGAGACGGAGUCUUGCUCUUGUCGUCCAGGCUGGAAUGCAGUGGUGCGCGAUCUUGGCGCACUGCAACCUCCGCCUCCCGAGUUCAAGAGAUUCUCUUGCCUGAGCCUCCCGAGUAGCUGGGAUUACAGGCACCCGCCACCAUCCCUGGCUAAUUUUUGUAUUUUUAGUAGAGAUGGGGUUUCACCAUGUUGGCCAGGUUAGUCUUGAACUCCUGACCUCAGGUGAUCCACCCACCUCAGCCUCCCAAAGUGCUGAGAUUACAGGCGUGAGCCACAGUGCCCGGCCUGUAUCCUUUAUAAUAUCUUUUAUAAACAACCAAUCAGUAAAUGUGUUACUCUGACUUCUGUGAGCUGCUCUAGCAAAUUAAUCAAAUCCACAGAAGGGUCAUGGGAACCCCAACUUGAAGCCUGUCCGUCAGAAGUUCCAGAGUCCUGGACUUGUGACUGGUGUCUGAAGUGGGCAAGUCUUGGGGACUGAGCCCCUAGCCUGUGGGAUCUGAUGCUAUCUCCACAUAGAUAGCAAUGGAAUUGAAUUGGCGGGCACCUGGCUGGUGUCUGCUGCAGAGCUCAUUGUUUGCUUAGUGGUGGAGAGAAGUCUCCCUCCACAUGUGGUCACAGCAUCUUCUGUCUGUGUUGAUUGCUUUUGAUGUUGAUCGAGAGAACAGGAAAAAGCACAUUGAAUGUCUCAAUGAUGAAGAUGACAAUAAUCUGGCUUCUAGGUUGUUAUGCGGCAGGCAACAGCUGUGCAGAUCCUAAUAAUCUACUCUGGGUGACAGUUUAACACAGGGGUUGGCAAAUGUGGCCCACUUCCUAUUUUUAUAAAUAAAGUUUUAUUGAAACAUG